Dipodomys ordii (Ord's kangaroo rat) is the source of this 103-nucleotide small nuclear RNA. NCBI's taxonomy places the organism in Eukaryota, Metazoa, Chordata, Mammalia, Rodentia, Heteromyidae. The record is from Ensembl.
GUGUUUGAGCAGCACAUUUACUAAAGCUGGAAGGAUACAGGGAACAUUAGCAUAGCCCCUGUACAGGGAUGGCAUCCAAAUUCAUCAAAUUCACUCAAAUACU